GCCAGCUUGGCGUUGGUUGUCCAAGUUUAAGGUGGUAGGCUGAAAUCUUAGGUAAAUCCGGGGUUUCAAGGCCGAGAGCUGAUGACGAGUCGUCUUUUAGAUGACGAAGUGGUUGAUGCCAUGCUUCCAAGAAAAGCUUCUAAGCUUCAGGUAACCAGGAACCGUACCCCAAACCGACACAGGUGGUCGGGUAGAGAAUACCAAGGCGCUUGAGAGAACUCGGGUGAAGGAACUAGGCAAAAUGGCACCGUAACUUCGGGAGAAGGUGCGCCGGCUAGGGUGAAGGAUUUACUCCGUAAGCUCUGGCUGGUCGAAGAUACCAGGCCGCUGCGACUGUUUAUUAAAAACACAGCACUCUGCAAACACGAAAGUGGACGUAUAGGGUGUGACGCCUGCCCGGUGCCGGAAGGUUAAUUGAUGGGGUUAGCGCAAGCGAAGCUCUUGAUCGAAGCCCCGGUAAACGGCGGCCGUAACGAUAACGGUCCUAAGGUAGCGAAAUUCCUUGUCGGGUAAGUUCCGACCUGCACGAAUGGCGUAACGAUGGCGGCGCUGUCUCCACCCGAGACUCAGUGAAAUUGAAAUCGCUGUGAAGAUGCAGUGUAUCCGCGGCUAGACGGAAAGACCCCGUGAACCUUUACUGUAGCUUUGCACUGGACUUUGAGCCUGCUUGUGUAGGAUAGGUGGGAGGCUUUGAAGCGUGGACGCCAGUUCGCGUGGAGCCAUCCUUGAAAUACCACCCUGGCAUGCUUGAGGUUCUAACUCUGGUCCGUAAUCCGGAUCGAGGACAGUGUAUGGUGGGCAGUUUGACUGGGGCGGUCUCCUCCUAAAGAGUAACGGAGGAGUACGAAGGUGCGCUCAGACCGGUCGGAAAUCGGUCGCAGAGUAUAAAGGCAAAAGCGCGCUUGACUGCGAGACAGACACGUCGAGCAGGUACGAAAGUAGGUCUUAGUGAUCCGGUGGUUCUGUAUGGAAGGGCCAUCGCUCAACGGAUAAAAGGUACUCCGGGGAUAACAGGCUGAUACCGCCCAAGAGUUCAUAUCGACGGCGGUGUUUGGCACCUCGAUGUCGGCUCAUCACAUCCUGGGGCUGAAGCCGGUCCCAAGGGUAUGGCUGUUCGCCAUUUAAAGUGGUACGCGAGCUGGGUUUAGAACGUCGUGAGACAGUUCGGUCCCUAUCUGCCGUGGACGUUUGAGAUUUGAGAGGGGCUGCUCCUAGUACGAGAGGACCGGAGUGGACGAACCUCUGGUGUUCCGGUUGUCACGCCAGUGGCAUUGCCGGGUAGCUAUGUUCGGAAAAGAUAACCGCUGAAAGCAUCUAAGCGGGAAACUUGCCUCAAGAUGAGAUCUCACUGGGAACUUGAUUCCCCUGAAGGGCCGUCGAAGACUACGACGUUGAUAGGCUGGGUGUGUAAGCGUUGUGAGGCGUUGAGCUAACCAGUACUAAUUGCCCGUGAGGCUUGAUC
Molecule: ribosomal RNA, 1462 nt
Filed under: metagenome
Description: bacterial LSU rRNA
Rfam family: Bacterial large subunit ribosomal RNA
Source: RNAcentral